AUUGAACGCUGGCGGCAGGCCUAACACAUGCAAGUCGAACGAGUGGCGGACGGGUGAGUAAUGUCUGGGAAACUGCCCGAUGGAGGGGGAUAACUACUGGAAACGGUAGCUAAUACCGCAUACCAUCGGAUGUGCCCAGAUGGGAUUAGCUAGUAGGUGGGGUAACGGCUCACCUAUGCGACGAUCCCUAGCUGGUCUGAGAGGAUGACCAGCGACACUGGACCUGAGACACGGUCCAGACUCCUACGGGAUGCAGCAGUUGGGAAUAUUGCACAAUGUGCGCAAGCCUGAUGCGGCCAUGCGGCGUGUAUGAAGAAAGCCUUGGGGUUGUAAAGUACUUUCAGCGAGGAGGCGUUACUCGCAGAAGAAGCACCGGCUAACUCCGUGCCAGCAGCCGCGGUAAUUC
This 406-nucleotide ribosomal RNA is filed under the name uncultured bacterium. Its description in RNAcentral is "partial 16S ribosomal RNA". It matches the Rfam family "Bacterial small subunit ribosomal RNA", at positions 30 to 526 of the family's 1533-position model. The record is from RNAcentral.